Molecule: long non-coding RNA, 3153 nt
Filed under: Triticum aestivum (bread wheat)
Lineage: Eukaryota; Viridiplantae; Streptophyta; Magnoliopsida; Poales; Poaceae
Description: long non-coding RNA (TAES_LNC014691)
Source: RNAcentral
AAGCUUUAUAUUACAAGCCAGGGGCUUCGAGGUCUCGAAUACAUAAGACCGAAUACACAAGAGUCAGCGGAAGCAACAAUAUCUGAGUACAGACAUAAGUUAGACAAGCAUGCCUUAAGAAGGCCAGCACAAAGCAUCUACGAUCGAAAAGGCAAGGCCUCCUGCCUGGGAGUCUCCUAACUACUCCUGGUCGUUGGCGGUCUUCACGUAGAAGUAGGCAUCAACGGUGGCAUCUGGCUCCUGGGCUCCGACAUCUGGUUGCAGCAACCGAAAAGAAGAAGAAAGGGGGGAAAGGGGUAGCAAAGCAACCGUGAGUACUCAUCCAAAGUACUGGCAAGCAAGGAUCUACACUACAUAUGCAACAUUGUCAAAGGAAGGCUGAAUAUGUGUACUGGGCUGCAGAAAUGCCAAAAUAGAGGGGAGAACCUAGCCCUAUCGAAGACUAGCAUCUUCUGGAAACCACCAUCUUGUAGCAACAGGAGGGAGUAGAGUAGCAUAAAGUAAAAUAGUAGAAGUGUUAUCAACGUCGGCCAAAGAUCCUUUCUCGACUCCCUGCGAGAAAGCAAUCCCAGUCGUACUAUCCAGUUAUCAUCACAAUCCAUUUCUCAUAUCCAUUUCUCAUCUCAGGUAUCCAGUUCUAGUUGUAUCGAUCGGGAUACAAGUCCAAGUGUCCGUUACCGUAGGACAGGCUAUCGAUAGAUGUUUUCUUCCCUGCAGGGGUGCACCAACUUACCCACCACGCUCGAUUAACUCCGGCUGGACACAUUUUCCUGGGUCAUGCCCGGCCUCGGCCAAACAAUACGCCGCAACCCGACCUAGGCUUAAUAGAGAGGUCAGCACGCUGGACUAAACCUAUGCCCCCAGGAGUCAUGGGCCAUCUCCCCGGAAACUCCUGCACGUUGCGUGGGCAGCCGGUGAGUAGACCUAGCUACCUCCUUCAACAAGGCAGGAGCUUACGUAGUCCAACCCAGCACGCGCCGCUUAGUCACUAACGUCUAUUAAGCUUUGGCUGAUGUAUACGACGCAGAACGCCCAUACAAUGCCCACGUGAUGGUUAGUGCUAUCAGGCCAGAGGCCCCUCGGAUCAAAUAUCCAAACCAUAGUGGAUUAGGAGCACGCGGUAACUAGCAGAGACUCACGAUCGAUGUGACCCUGUCGCCCCGUCUCGAGUACUUGCGGCAAGGGCUAAGAAUGCCCGGCCAAACCUCGUAGUUAUCUCGCGGGCACCCUCCAGGUCAACCUGUCUCCACAUCACUCGCUAUUAAGCUCACGCGGGUACCCCUCAGGGCCUACCCGUCUUUAGUAACAUGGUUCAGUGUAAAGACAUAGUAACCAUAGUAACUGCGUGUCUGACACCAAGGGGAAAAACCGAGGAAUCACCCGCAAUGAAUUCCACUCGAUGUUAUCAUCAAGGUGAACAUAAGAGGAUCCACCCUCGAGGUUCACACUUGAGGGGUUGCACGACAGAGCCGUAACGGAAGAGGUUAAGGAGGAAAUCACCCUCGAUGACCUCGACCGUAUAGCUACACUAUAGAGAUCUCAUCAGGAGUGAUGUAAGAGUUUCCACCCUCGCACUCGAUGGUAACUCUACAGAGUCGUACAACUAGGGGGUGAUGUGUGGUGUCGGGGCCUAGUCUUCGAUCCCGUUGAUCGGGUCUUCAAUGAUGAAGCAGGGGCAACAAGGUCAAGGUGGGGGUCACUGAUGGAUCACUAACCAACCUAUACUAAGCAGUUUAGGAUAAGCAGGUAGGUAACAAUAAGCAGGUUACAAAAGUAGGCUAUGCAUCAGAAUAGGAGCAAACAAUAAUAGUAUCAAAAUCUAAUGCAAGCAUGAGAGAAUGGAAUGGGCGAUAUCGGGAUGAUCAAAGGCGGGGCUUGCCUGGUUGCUCUGGCAAGGAGGGGUCGUCGUCGACGUAGUCGAUCACAGGGGCAGCAUCAGUCUCGGGGUCUACCGGAGAGAAGAUGGGGAAGAAACAAUACAAAUAAAGCAAACAAAGCAUCAUAAAGCAUAACAUGGAAAUACGCGGUGUUAGGGGUGAACUAACGCAGUGCUAGGUGAUACAGACGAAGAGGGAAAACAUCCGGGAAUGUUUUCCCAACGUUUGACAUUUUUUGGACAGAUGCAAGAGAGGGGACGGUUCCAUGUUCAGCAUGUUAGGGGCACCUGACACAUAAACGGACUGCAUAUUUAGAUUUGUCUCGUCGUUCUAAGCAACUUUCAUGUAGAAAGUUUUUCGAUCCGAGCUAUGGUUUAAUUUAUAUGAUUUUCUCAAGUUUUAAUCAAUAUUUUAGAAUUAUUAUAAAUCCAAAUUAAAAACAGAAUAUACUUUUGUCACCUAGUGCUAUCCUAGCCACCAGUGUAUGACUAACUAUCAGUGGGUGUCUUGUGCUAGGCUUAGAGCUGAACAACAAUUAGGCCCCUAAUCUAAUUUGGGAUGGCCGUCCAUUGUGUGGUUGUGCAUCACACACAAGCACACGCACGCACAUGGCCAUGGCCCAUGGCCAUGGCGUGGCCAGGAUGCAUAGCAGCAGCUAGCAGCGGCCACAGGGAAAAGUAGCAGCGGCUAGGAGCAUCAGUAAGCAGCGGCGGCGCUAGAGGCAGCGACGGUGCUAGAGGCAAGCAACGGGAGAGUAGUAGCAGCAAGCAGAGCAGCCCCUAUUGGCCUCAGCAAGCAGCGACAGCAGCUAGGCGCGGCACGGCGCAUGCACGCACGAGCAUCAGCGGGCGGACGGGCACGCGCGCGCACGGGAGACAACAGGCACGCGCGAAUGCGGCCUGGCGCGCACAGCGGGGCACAGCCGCAACGUCGAGCGCGCCGGCGGUCGGAGCAGAGCUCGAGGAACUCCUCGCCUCAUGAUGGGUUCGAGGCAACGAAACAUGCAGGCAGCACCUACGGGUCACCAGGAGCUCAUUGGCGCGAUGCAAAUGAGCAGAGAAGCUUAGGAGCGUGGAGCUAUUCGGCCAUGGCGGCGGCCGGAGCACGGAGCUCGUGGAACGGCGGCCAGAGGACGGGAGCGACGCCUAGAGGAAAAGGGGAUCAACACGGAGCUCACUUUGAUGCUCGAAGAAGGCUCGAGGGUGCCGGGGACGGUCGGAGCGAGUAGAUCGACGCAGCGGCCGAGGAGGACGCCGACGAAGGGAACGGACGCGGG